Molecule: ribosomal RNA, 467 nt
Filed under: uncultured bacterium
Lineage: Bacteria
Description: bacterial SSU rRNA
Rfam family: Bacterial small subunit ribosomal RNA
Source: RNAcentral
AUGCAAGUCGAGGGGCAGCGCGGGUAGCAAUACCUGGCGGCGACCGGCGAAAGGGUGAGUAACGCGUGAGCAACGUGCCCGUAUGUGGGGAUAGUCAUUAGAAAUGAUGCGUAAUACCCCGUAACACAUGGAUCCGCAUGGUUCCAUGUUGAAAGAUUUAUUGCAUACGGAUCGGCUCGCGUGCCAUUAGCUGGAUGGCGGGGUAACGGCCCACCAUGGCGACGAUGGCUAGGGGUUCUGAGAGGAAGGUCCCCCACAUUGGAACUGAGACACGGUCCAGACUCCUACGGGAGGCAGCAGUGAGGAAUAUUGGACAAUGGCCGGAAGGCUGAUCCAGCCAUGCCGCGUGCGGGAAAGACGGCCCUAUGGGUUGUAAACCGCUUUUGCGGGGGAGCAAUAAGGUGCACGCGUGCACCGAUGAGAGUACCCUGCGAAUAAGCAUCGGCUAACUCCGUGCCAGCAGCCGC